GCAAUUGCUAAUUUUUCAUAUUGAAUUAAAUUGUAGUCUUGGCCAUGGUUUGGUUUGGAACUGAAAUCAUAUUAGAACCGACUCGAUCAUGUCAAACUUGAGUCCAAAAUCGAUAAAUGUUUCAUCGGCUCCAAAUCAUACCAAAAUUGUCUACAACCCUCUUGGUCUUGGUCACCUCCCUUGUAUGAACCGACUUGAGAUCAACAGUCCAAUCCUAGUUGAACUAAAAAAAUAAAAGGAAGAGGAAAAUUUGAAUUAUGUUUUUAAUAGUCAUAUGACCGUUGCCUCUACUAAUAGUGAUCAUUUU
This 307-nucleotide unclassified non-coding RNA is filed under the name Hevea brasiliensis (rubber tree). The record is from RNAcentral. Lineage: Eukaryota; Viridiplantae; Streptophyta; Magnoliopsida; Malpighiales; Euphorbiaceae.